RNAcentral lists this ribosomal RNA (524 nucleotides) under uncultured bacterium. Its description in RNAcentral is "bacterial SSU rRNA". It matches the Rfam family "Bacterial small subunit ribosomal RNA", at positions 791 to 1314 of the family's 1533-position model. The record is from RNAcentral.
UAGUCCACGCCGUAAACGAUGGAUACUAGCUGUCCGGUCUUCGGACUGGGCGGCCAAGCGAAAGUGAUAAGUAUCCCACCUGGGGAGUACGUUCGCAAGAAUGAAACUCAAAGGAAUUGACGGGGGCCCGCACAAGCGGUGGAGGAUGUGGCUUAAUUCGAGGCUACGCGAAGAACCUUACCUAGGCUUAACAUGUUUGGGAACGCCUGUGAAAGCAGGAAGUGCCUUUCGGGGAACCCUUACGUAGGUGCUGCAUGGCUGUCGUCAGCUCGUGUCGUGAGAUGUCGGGUUAAGUCCCUUAACGAGCGAAACCCUUGUCACUAGUUGCCAGCGAGUAAUGUCGGGGACUCUAGUGAGACUGCCGGUGUUAAACCGGAGGAAGGUGGGGAUGACGUCAAGUCCUCAUGGCCUUUAUGCCUAGGGCUGCACACGUCCUACAAUGCACUAUACAAAGCGUUGCGAACUCGCGAGAGUAAGCUAACCGCAUAAAGUAGUGCCCAGUUCGGAUAGCAGGCUGAAAUUCG